CUACAGACUGUGCUUCAGUGUCUGAGAGGCAUGUCCGGACAGGGCUCUUUUAGUCCUAAACUCCGCCCCCCUCGACUGAAGUUAGUAUAGCGGGGGGCUCCAGUAAAGAGCUUUCUAUGCUGCUGCCAAUGGGUGGUGGGCUGGAUCCCGGUGCUGUUCAUCACGGAGGUGGCCUGCUGGUCUUACUAUGCCUGUUUGUGCUGGAACUGUGUGCGUCUUCAUGUGGGAGUUGUUUUCCCUCCUCCUCACUAGUUCUCAGCAGAAUCACAGCUUGAACAUCCUGGGAGAGAAUCCAGAGCAUUCACACUGACUAACCUGAAAACAUCUGAGCAGUGAUAUGCUCUUAUAUGAGUGGACAGAACUGCUGCAAAGAUGUGAGGAGCCUCUGGAAAGGGCUUGGGGUACGGGAAUGCCAAGCCUGGGAGCUUGACCAGGAGAAUCUUGAGCUCCAAUUCAAAGGAGGAGCUCACACUAUGGAGAGUGCUGGGAGCUGUGUCGUGAGAAGUGAAGGUGGUUUGUUGUGCUCGCACUGCAGAUUGUGUUGGGAGCUGUACCCUGAUGAUUCAAAGCAAGUUUUGUGUGCUUGGCUGAAGGAUUACAUCACUGUGGAUGCCUGUUCCAGCUCUAUGUGAGGCUGCCCAUCUGAGUGAGUCCACGGGUGAGUUAUGCCUGAGGGAGGGCAGUGAAAGGAUCCAGCAUGUGUCCCCUGUUAAAGAUACAGGUGUUGUUUGUGUGCCUGCUAUGUGGGAGCCACUACCUCUGUCCAAGAGGUAUUUGGGUAGGUAACGCUACCUGGGAAAAGUUUAAAGGAGAAUUCAACCCUAAAGUUUAAAAAAACCCUACCCUACAUUGACCCCCUCCCUCCUCCCCCCCCCAGCCAUCUUCUUCUCUUUGGUAAUCUUCAGGAAGUAAGUGCCAUAUUGGUGAAUGUGCAGUUGGAUCAAUUUUCUGUCUCGUGACAACUGCGCAUGCGCCAAAAAAAAAAUCCGGUCUCAUUCCGAAGAUUACCGAAGCGGCUGAAGAUGGCGCCCAUGAACUUGACUGGACAGGAUCUGCACGAAGGGGUAAGUAAAGACUAAGGGGCAUUUGCCCGGGGUAACACUUAUGCUGGGGGUGAGGAGGGAGGGGGUCUAUGUAAGGUAGAGGGGUAGGGGGGUUUUAACUUUAUGAUUUAGUUCUCCUUUAAGAGCUCUUUGGGGAAAAGGGACUGAGACUCUUUGUCCACUAGGAGUGGAGUGUGGGACUUUGUCUGGCAAGGAGGUGCCAGGAUGGGACUGCAACAGGUUACUCAGGGUAUUGGGUUAGUAAUAUAUAACUUCCAUAUUUACUUUGCACUUUUCUUCUGAUAUAUAAAGUUAUUCGUUAUACUGCAACUGUGUGUGUGAAAGUAUUGUUUUCUUACUGGAGCCAUCCGCAGGUGUAUUCCCAGAUCUCAUUAGGUGAAGGCACUGCCAUGAGAGGUAAGUUCCCAGUACCCUUCAUGUAGCAAAGGGAAUUCAGGACCUGCAUACGGUAAGAAAGUAAUGGUGUAUAACCUAUGGCACAGGGGGAUGGCCAAGAUGGGUUUACAGAAGCUUGAAAGUAGUUUAAGUAGUAGAGUGACUGCCUCUGUCCUUCCAUCACACUAUGAAAGUAUUGAUGAUUGUAUAAAAGUGGAAAAAGAACCAUUGUAGACGCAAGACAGUAAUACGUCAAUUGGAAUUUGAGUGAAUCCCACAAUUGCCUUCCAACCUUUGGCGAUACAAAAUUAAUAUCGCUUAUCUUUAAAUCGCUGUUAUGAACAUGGGGCAUACAUGCUCCUUAUACUCAGGCCCUCAAGCAGUGCAUAUUGCAGAUUAAUGAGUACCAAACCUGUAAUAAUAAUUCUGACAGAUCUCCAUUCUCCUGUGCUACUCAUUGAUCCAAUAAUGCAUUUUAGGUAGGUCUAUGUAAAGUAUAUUGUACAUAUCUAGUAUAGGUAAAUCUAAAAACAACUGGACUUGCUGAUUAAUCAUUGAAGACGUAGUUCAUAGUCAUAUAUUGUAUAUACUUAGUAUAAAGUACAUUAGGUAGGUUCUAUGGACAGUUUGGAAUCAAUAACUUAAAUAGAUAACAUCUAACAUUUAUUAAAGAAAAUACAACAAUAACUGGGAAUGUCAUCAAAUAUAUCCUGUCAGAAUUAAUUCUGCUUGAGUUUUAGAAUCUCAGAAUACCAAAUGAAGAUGCCCAGGCAAGCGGAAAGAGUUAAGCAAAUGUCAAGGAAAAGUGUUAUGAGGCACACUUCUGCGACACCUCUCCUCAGUGCUACACCAAAAGUCUUUUUACCAUCCACCAACUCCAUGAAGUGGUUCUCCGGCUUGAAUGUCUCAUCAAAUCUUUUAAACUUUGUAAUGUUUGUAAUUAUUUGUGAUGUUGCUCCUGUAUCUACCAUAAGUCCCUUUGGUGUUAAACUAUUUUAUGACUCUUACUUACUUGAAGGCAAAUGUUUGCUCUGUGUCAUCAGCUGCUUGCUUUACAUUUUCCCACCCUUGUGUCUGCAAAAUGUUUCUUUAUGUGAUGGACUCUUGCAAUAGUUACACCACUUUUAUAUAGUUUUCUUGGGUAUGUGUUAGCUUUGUGGCUCUUUUGAUUUUAGUUGUAGCAGAAAGGGUUGAAGAUAAUGUUGCCUUCCUUACUGUUGUAACAGGAGUGCUGACCUGCAUCUCAUUAUCAGUGUUUGGCUGACACAGUAUUUCUCAGUGUCCUCAAAACGUAUUAACUGCAUUUUAAACUCAUUAAAAUUCACCUUUCCAUCACCUUGUGUGAUAUGGAUAGCUAAGGGUUUAAAUGAUUGAGGUAGGCCUUUAAGAAUCAUUUCAAUCAACAGUCCAUCACUAAGGGGCAAAUUUAUUAAGGGCCAAAGUGAAAAUUUGAAUUUUUGAAUUUAAAUUUCAAAUUCAAAUUCUCUAGUUUUUUAUGUCCAAAACUAUCAAAUUCAACUAGGAAAUUGUUAACAUUCGAUUCAAGUUUUUUGAAAUUAGUUUUUUCAAAUUAGAUUUUUGAAACCAAAUUAAAUUCGAAUUCUAUUCAAAUUCAAUUCAAGUUUGCGGGUUGAUCCUAUUCACCCGA
Long non-coding RNA from Xenopus laevis (African clawed frog), 3087 nucleotides. RefSeq lists it as uncharacterized. The record is from RefSeq and is a predicted model, not a curated record. The transcript is spliced from 4 exons. NCBI's taxonomy places the organism in Eukaryota, Metazoa, Chordata, Amphibia, Anura, Pipidae.